RNAcentral lists this long non-coding RNA (850 nucleotides) under Amphibalanus amphitrite. Its description in RNAcentral is "uncharacterized LOC122381233, transcript variant X1". The record is from RNAcentral. Lineage: Eukaryota; Metazoa; Arthropoda; Thecostraca; Balanomorpha; Balanidae.
GAGCGGUCGCCAUGGUGCACAGAAGAUCCUCAGUCAUAGUUAACAAAAUGGAAAAAAUUAGCUGUGUUUUUAAGAUUCCAGUGGUGGCCAUCAACUGCUCAGGAAAGCAGCCCAGAAUCACUUCACAACAGGUUUCCAAAGGAUCAUCAUUCAUCAGCACAGAAGGGUGGGAAAGAGAAGGCUGUUCAAAUUCUGAAAAGCCAGAGCUGCAAAGGAGGUCAAAGAUGCAGUGCAGUUGGCCCACUCAGUAGAGUUUCACUAGUGGUUCUGAUGUGGACUGAAGAUUACACGCUGGAUUGAAGUGGCCGGUCUGGAGCAGCUGUAGUUCACCAUUCUUGCUGAUUGUGGACGAGUAAGAGCCCGCGUUGGCCCCGAUCGGCGAUCGCUGGCCAAAGCCCACCACCAGUUUGGUGAUAGGCGUUGGCUGUGAUAUCUAGUGUCGCCUAUGUGUGAAAAGGACAAGUUGAUAACAAAACCUGUUGCGCCAUGUUAUUAACCCGCGCCCGGGUGGCCCUCAGCCAACUUGGUGGGGGGGGGGGGGGAGGUGUAUUCGGCCACACCAGGUUAUCUUGGAAUGUAGCAAAGCUGGAAAGACGCAGUAAAAUCAAUCUAUAGAUCGCUAUUUUUCUUCAGAAUCACACAGGUCAUUUUUGAUCAGGUCAUCGCUGAGGUCACUGGAGGUCACCAAAAGUAAAAUGAUGACGAAUUUUGGCCCCCGAUUUUGACAACUUCACAAAUUGGUUCAUAAUUCGGGAACCAAAGAAGCUACAGCGCCGCGGAAAAGCGAAUUCGAUAGCUCUUUCGAAAAUCUUUCAGGUUCUCAUAUUUGAGCUAAGGUCAACUAGGGUUA